GUUUGAUCAUGGCUCAGGACGAACGCUGGCGGCGUGCUUUACACAUGCAAGUCGAACGGGCUUAAAGAGCUUGCUCUUUAAGUUAGUGGCGAACGGGUGAGUAAUAUAUCGGAACGUAUCCAAUAAUGGGGGAUAACUAAGCGAAAGCUUGGCUAAUACCGCAUACGCCCUACGGGGGAAAGCUAGGGAUCUUCGGACCUGGCGUUAAUGGAGCGGCCGAUAUCUGAUUAGCUAGUUGGUGAGGUAAAGGCUCACCAAGGCGACGAUCAGUAGCUGGUCUGAGAGGACGACCAGCCACACUGGAACUGAGACACGGUCCAGACUCCUACGGGAGGCAGCAGUGGGGAAUUUUGGACAAUGGGCGAAAGCCUGAUCCAGCCAUUCCGCGUGAGUGAAGAAGGCCUUCGGGUUGUAAAGCUCUUUCGCAAGGGAAGAACACUUAGUCUCUAACAUAGACUGAGGUUGACGGUACCUUGAUAAGAAGCACCGGCUAACUACGUGCCAGCAGCCGCGGGUAAUACGUAGGGUGCGAAC
RNAcentral lists this ribosomal RNA (534 nucleotides) under uncultured bacterium. RNAcentral's name for it is "bacterial SSU rRNA". It matches the Rfam family "Bacterial small subunit ribosomal RNA", at positions 11 to 539 of the family's 1533-position model. The record is from RNAcentral.